Molecule: ribosomal RNA, 256 nt
Filed under: uncultured bacterium
Lineage: Bacteria
Description: partial 16S ribosomal RNA
Rfam family: Bacterial small subunit ribosomal RNA
Source: RNAcentral
UACGUAGGGUGCAAGCGUUAAUCGGAAUUACUGGGCGUAAAGCGUGCGCAGGCGGUUUUGUAAGUCUGUCGUGAAAUCCCCCGGGCUCAACCUGGGAAUGGCGAUGGAGACUGCAAGGCUAGAGUUUGGCAGAGGGGGGUAGAAUUCCACGUGUAGCAGUGAAAUGCGUAGAUAUGUGGAGGAACACCGAUGGCGAAGGCAGCCCCCUGGGUCAAAAACUGACGCUCAUGCACGAAAGCGUGGGGGAGCAAACAGG